UCUCCUUCCCUACCAUACUAUUACAAAUCACCACCACCACCUAAGGCUUAUCCCCCUCCAUACUAUUACACUUCUCCACCACCACCUAAGGCUUAUCCUCCACCAUACUACUACACUUCUCCACCACCACCCGUCCCUUACCCUCACCCACAUCCCCAUCCCCAUCAUUUCGUAGUGAAGGUGGUAGGAAAGGUGUACUGCUACAGGUGCUAUGACUGGGAUUAUCCUAAGAAAUCACACGACAAGAAGCAUCUCAAAGGUGCUGUAGUGGAGGUCACAUGCAAGGUAGGUGAAAAGGAGAUCAA
Molecule: unclassified non-coding RNA, 305 nt
Filed under: Hevea brasiliensis (rubber tree)
Lineage: Eukaryota; Viridiplantae; Streptophyta; Magnoliopsida; Malpighiales; Euphorbiaceae
Source: RNAcentral